AGUGAACGCUGGCGGUAGGCCUAACACAUGCAAGUCGAACGGCAGCACAGUAAGAUCUUUCUCUUACGGGUGGCGGCUGACGGACGAGUGAGGAAUACAUCGCAAUCUACUUUUUCGUGGGGGAUAACGUAGGGAAACUUACGCUACUACCGCAUACGACCUACGGGUGAAAGCAGGGGUUCUUCGGACCUUUCGCGAUUGUAUGAGCCGAUGCCGCAUUAGCUAGUUGGCUGGGUAAAGGCCCACCAAGGCAACGAUCCGUAGCUGGUCUGAGGGGAUGAUCAGCCACACUGGAACUGAGACACGGUCCAGACUCCUACGGGAGGCAGCAGUGGGGAAUAUUGGACAAUGGGCGAAAGCCUGACGGAGCCAUGCCGCGUGAGUGAAGAAGGUCUUCGGGUUGUAAAGCCCUGUUGUUAGGAAAGAAAAGAAGCAGGUGAAUACCCGGCCGUUUUGACGGUACCCAAAGAAUAAGCACCGGCUAACUUCGUG
RNAcentral lists this ribosomal RNA (492 nucleotides) under uncultured bacterium. Its description in RNAcentral is "partial 16S ribosomal RNA". It matches the Rfam family "Bacterial small subunit ribosomal RNA", at positions 29 to 507 of the family's 1533-position model. The record is from RNAcentral.